This 489-nucleotide ribosomal RNA is filed under the name uncultured bacterium. Its description in RNAcentral is "partial 16S ribosomal RNA". It matches the Rfam family "Bacterial small subunit ribosomal RNA", at positions 29 to 507 of the family's 1533-position model. The record is from RNAcentral.
AUUGAACGCUGGCGGCAUGCCUUACACAUGCAAGUCGAACGGCAUCGCGGGAAAGCUUGCUUUCCUGGCGGCGAGUGGCGAACGGGUGAGUAACACAUCGGAACGUACCGGCUAGUGGGGGAUAACCCGUCGAAAGACGGGCUAAUACCGCAUACGCUCUUCGGAGGAAAGCAGGGGACCUUUUGGCCUUGCGCUAGCCUAGCGGCCGAUGUCCGAUUAGCUAGUUGGUGGGGUAAAGGCCUACCAAGGCGACGAUCGGUAGCGGGUCUGAGAGGACGAUCGGCCACACUGGGAUUGAGACACGGCCCAGACCCCUACGGGAGGCAGCAGUAGGAAUAUUGGACAAUGGGGGCAACCCUGAUCCAGCAAUGCCGCGUGGGUGAAGAAGGCCUUCGGGUUGUAAAGCCCUUUCGGCAGGGAAGAAAUCGGCGGGGCGAAUAACCCUGCUGGAUGACGGUACCUGCAGAAGAAGCACCGGCUAACUACGUG